UGGACGAAAGCCAGGGGACCGAAAGGGAUUAGAUACCCCUGUAGUCCUGGCCGUAAACGAUGAACACUAGGUGUCGGGGGAAUCGACCCCCUCGGUGUCGUAGCCAACGCGUUAAGUGUUCCGCCUGGGGAGUACGCACGCAAGUGUGAAACUCAAAGGAAUUGACGGGGGCCCGCACAAGCGGUGGAGUAUGUGGUUUAAUUCGAUGCAACGCGAAGAACCUUACCAGGGUUUGACAUCCUGCGAAUCUCUUGGAAACGAGAGAGUGCCUUCGGGAGCGCAGUGACAGGUGGUGCAUGGCUGUCGUCAGCUCGUGUCGUGAGAUGUUGGGUUAAGUCCCGCAACGAGCGCAACCCACGUCGUUAGUUGCCAGCAUUUAGUUGGGCACUCUAGCGAGACCGCCGGUGAUAAACCGGAGGAAGGUGUGGAUGACGUCAAGUCAUCAUGCCCCUUACAUCCUGGGCUACACACGUACUACAAUGCUACGGACAAAGGGCAGCAAACUCGCGAGAGCUAGCAAAUCCCAUAAACCGUGGCUCAGUUCAGAUCGUAGGCUGCAACUCGCCUACGUGAAGGAGGAAUCGCUAGUAAUCGCAGGUCAGCAUACUGCGGUGAAUACGUUCCCGGGCCUUGUACACACCGCCCGUCACACCAUGGAAGUUGGCCACGCCCGAAGCCGUUACUCCAAC
This 689-nucleotide ribosomal RNA is filed under the name uncultured cyanobacterium. Its description in RNAcentral is "bacterial SSU rRNA". It matches the Rfam family "Bacterial small subunit ribosomal RNA", at positions 750 to 1439 of the family's 1533-position model. The record is from RNAcentral. Lineage: Bacteria; Bacillati; Cyanobacteriota.